RNAcentral lists this ribosomal RNA (274 nucleotides) under uncultured bacterium. Its description in RNAcentral is "partial 16S ribosomal RNA". It matches the Rfam family "Bacterial small subunit ribosomal RNA", at positions 523 to 796 of the family's 1533-position model. The record is from RNAcentral.
AUACGGAGGGUGCAAGCGUUACUCGGAAUUACUGGGCGUAAAGGACGCGUAGGCGGUUUAGAAAGUCAGAUGUGAAAGCCUAUGGCUUAACCAUAGAACUGCAUUUGAAACUUCCAAACUAGAGUGGGGGAGAGGUCAGUGGAAUUAGUGGUGUAGGGGUAAAAUCCGUAGAGAUCACUAGGAAUACUCAUUGCGAUGGCGACUGACUGGAACUUAACUGACGCUGAGGCGUGAAAGCGUGGGGAGCAAACAGGAUUAGAUACCCUAGUAGUCC